CGAUCAAAUAUGGUGGCCGCCGUGAUACCAUAAUAUUGCGGAGGAAAGUCCGAACAUCACAGGGCAAAACUUUCUGCGAAAGCAGAACCCGUCAGCGUGCUGACGGCGGGCCAGUGUCACAGAAAAUGUACCGUCCGUUUAAAGCGGAUAAGGGUGAAAAGGUGGAGUAAGAGACCACCGCUUCCUUUCGGCAGAAAACACAAUGACGGAAGGCCUGAUAAACCCAGUUUGAUGCAAGGCCAAAUAAAGAAGGAUUCCCGCGGGGAAGCGUAAAGCCCAAUGCGCGUUCUGCGAUUGCCGAACACACUUCAGGGUAGGUUGCUUAAGUUUGCCGGUAACGGUAAACUAAGAUAAAUGGCCACGAUCCUGUCUCAGGAUACAGAAUUCGGCUUAUUCAUUUGAUCGGGUU
This 409-nucleotide RNase P RNA is filed under the name Caldithrix sp. RNAcentral describes it as "RNase P RNA component class A". It matches the Rfam family "Bacterial RNase P class A". From Rfam's summary of the family: Ribonuclease P (RNase P) is a ubiquitous endoribonuclease, found in archaea, bacteria and eukarya as well as chloroplasts and mitochondria. Its best characterised activity is the generation of mature 5'-ends of tRNAs by cleaving the 5'-leader elements of precursor-tRNAs. The record is from RNAcentral. Lineage: Bacteria; Pseudomonadati; Calditrichota; Calditrichia; Calditrichales; Calditrichaceae.